GGGGGAAUUUUGCACAAUGGGGGAAACCCUGAUGCAGCGACGCCGCGUGAUUUAGAAGGCCUGCGGGUUGUAAAAAUCUUUUCUAUGGGAAGAAAAUGACAGUACCAUAGGAAUAAGGACCGGCUAAUUACGUGCCAGCAGCCGCGGUAAUACGUAAGGUCCGAGCGUUGUCCGGAAUCAUUGGGUGUAAAGGGUACGUAGGCGGGUAAGCAAGUUAGAAGUGAAAUCCUAUAGCUCAACUAUAGUAAGCUUUUAAAACUGCUCAUCUUGAGGUAUGGAAGGGAAAUUGGAAUUCCUAGUGUAGCGGUGAAAUGCGCAGAUAUUAGGAGGAAUACCGGUGGCGGAGGCGACUUUCUGGCCAUAACCUGACGCUGAGGUACGAAAGCGUGGGUAGCAAACAGG
This 402-nucleotide ribosomal RNA is filed under the name bacterium. RNAcentral describes it as "partial 16S ribosomal RNA". It matches the Rfam family "Bacterial small subunit ribosomal RNA", at positions 355 to 776 of the family's 1533-position model. The record is from RNAcentral.